UCUAAUAUGGCAGAAAAAUGCAUUGGAUUUAAACCCCAUAAAUAAAGUUUAUUACUUUUUUUAGAA
Molecule: transfer RNA, 66 nt
Filed under: Macrodiprion sp. 2 GYN-2022c
Lineage: Eukaryota; Metazoa; Arthropoda; Insecta; Hymenoptera; Diprionidae
Description: tRNA-Leu
Rfam family: tRNA
About the family: Transfer RNA (tRNA) molecules are approximately 80 nucleotides in length.
Source: RNAcentral